This 373-nucleotide ribosomal RNA is filed under the name uncultured organism. Its description in RNAcentral is "partial 16S ribosomal RNA". It matches the Rfam family "Bacterial small subunit ribosomal RNA", at positions 527 to 896 of the family's 1533-position model. The record is from RNAcentral.
GUAGGAGGCGAGCGUUAUCCGGAAUUACUGGGCGUAAAGAGAGCGUAGGUGGUCUUUCAAGUCCUGGGUGAAGUCUCCCGGCUCAACCGGGAGGGGACCCGGGAUACUGGGAGGCUUGAGGGCAGCAGAGGGAGGUGGAAUUCCCGGUGUAGUGGUGAAAUGCGUAGAUAUCGGGAGGAACACCAGUGGCGAAGGCGGCCUCCUGGGCUGUACCUGACGCUGAGGCUCGUAAGCGUGGGGAGCGAACCGGAUUAGAUACCCGGGGUAGUCCACGCCCUAAACGAUGGACACUAGCUAUGGGGGGUAUCGACCCCCCUCCGUGGCGAAGCUAACGCCUUAAGUGUCCCGCCUGGGGAGUACGGCCGCAAGGCUA